GAGUUUGAUCCUGGCUCAGAACGAACGCUGGCGGCAGGCCUAACACAUGCAAGUCGAGCGAGGGGUAACCCUAGCGGCGGACGGGUGAGUAACGCGUGGGAACGUGCCCUUUGCUACGGAAUAGCCUCGGGAAACUGGGAGUAAUACCGUAUGUGCCCUUCGGGGGAAAGAUUUAUCGGCAAAGGAUCGGCCCGCGUUGGAUUAGGUAGUUGGUGGGGUAAUGGCCUACCAAGCCGACGAUCCAUAGCUGGUUUGAGAGGAUGAUCAGCCACACUGGGACUGAGACACGGCCCAGACUCCUACGGGAGGCAGCAGUGGGGAAUCUUAGACAAUGGGCGCAAGCCUGAUCUAGCCAUGCCGCGUGAGCGAUGAAGGCCUUAGGGUUGUAAAGCUCUUUCGGGGGGGAAGAUAAUGACUGUACCCCCAGAAGAAGCCCCGGCUAACUCCGUGCCAGCAGCCGCGGUAAUACGGAGGGGGCUAGCGUUGUUCGGAAUUACUGGGCGUAAAGCGCACGUAGGCGGACCGGAAAGUCAGAGGUGAAAUCCCAGGGCUCAACCUUGGAACUGCCUUUGAAACUCCCGGUCUUGAG
This 589-nucleotide ribosomal RNA is filed under the name uncultured organism. RNAcentral describes it as "bacterial SSU rRNA". It matches the Rfam family "Bacterial small subunit ribosomal RNA", at positions 9 to 646 of the family's 1533-position model. The record is from RNAcentral.